UGGGGAAUUUUGGACAAUGGGCGAAAGCCUGAUCCAGCCAUGCCGCGUGAGUGAAGAAGGCCUUCGGGUUGUAAAGCUCUUUUAGUCGGAAAGAAAGAGUUGCAAUGAAUAAUUGUGAUUUAUGACGGUACCGACAGAAAAAGCACCGGCUAACUACGUGCCAGCAGCCGCGGUAAUACGUAGGGUGCGAGCGUUAAUCGGAAUUACUGGGCGUAAAGGGUGCGCAGGCGGCCUUGCAAGUCAGAUGUGAAAGCCCCGGGCUUAACCUGGGAAUUGCGUUUGAAACUACAAGGCUAGAGUGCAGCAGAGGGGAGUGGAAUUCCAUGUGUAGCAGUGAAAUGCGUAGAGAUGUGGAAGAACACCGAUGGCGAAGGCAGCUCCCUGGGUUGACACUGACGCUCAUGCACGAAAGCGUGGGGAGCAAACA
RNAcentral lists this ribosomal RNA (427 nucleotides) under uncultured beta proteobacterium. Its description in RNAcentral is "bacterial SSU rRNA". It matches the Rfam family "Bacterial small subunit ribosomal RNA", at positions 355 to 774 of the family's 1533-position model. Lineage: Bacteria; Pseudomonadati; Pseudomonadota; Betaproteobacteria. The record is from RNAcentral.